AGAAUUCAUUGCAGAUUAAAGUAGGCAUUAUGAUUUCAAUGGAACAAAAGAGUUAUCUUCAAAACAUGUCACAACUGCCUGGGAAAGCUCAUAAUAAGAAGCUACUAAUGAGAACCUGCUAAUAAGCAGCUCAAAAAUACCUCAAAAUAACUCAACCAUGAGCUUCUCCAUCCCCCAGUCCAACCUGCACACAUCAAAGAGAAAAAAUAUGGAAGAAAAUUGCAUAUUGAUCAUUACCUGAAUUUUUGUUGUGGGGAACUUUUGUUGGGCACAGUUUGAGAAGCUUAAUACAUAUGAAAAAAGGAAAAUACUUAAAUGGAACAAAAUGUGGGGUUCCACAUCCCUUUUGAAAAGAAAGGUUUUAUGUGAACAAUGUAUCUUGGAAUCAGUCCAUCAUAAACUUCUGACUUCUAUAACUAGAUCGAGAUGCUCAUAUGACCAGUAAGAGUCUAUUAUAAACAAUGACUUUUGCUUGUAAUUUAGAAAAAUGGAUUUUCCUCUUACUACCAGAAGAGAUGUGAGAGGUUUUGAGAUCUGGAGCUUCUCCAGCCACUGUGCAAUAAUAAGAAGAGAGCCUGUUUGAGAAUGAAUCCAUUUGAAAUGACACCGAGAAGAAAUUUUACUCAACCAAGUUUACUGUUUUUCACUUUUCAUACGUUUUUGAGAACUUUCAGGAGGAUGAAUAUUUGUAGUUGACAAAAUAUAUUGCAUGAGAAAUUGUAACUCUCUUCAACCAUUCACUUUCUCAAGAUAAAAAGAAACAAGUGACUUCGCCUGUCAUCCCAGCACUUUGGAGGCCGAGGCGGGUGAAUCACUUAAGGUUAGGAGCUCAAGAGCAGCCUGGCUAAAAUGGUGAAACCCAUUCUAUACUACAAAUACCAAAAAUUACCCAGGCAUGGUGAUGCGCGCCUGUAAUCCCUCCUACUUGAGAGGCUGAGGGACGGGAAUUGCUGGAACCCGGGAGGUGGAGGCUGCAGUGAGCCAAGAUCGCACCACGGCACUCCAGCCUGGGAGACAGAGUGAGACUACAUCAAAAAAAAAAAAAAAAAAAAGGAAAAAUAAAAAAAAGUAACUUAUCUGUACUUUUCUGAUGCUAAAUUGUAAGACUCAUUUUUUUUUGUUGUUAUUGAACAUGUUUUAUAAAUUUUUUAAUAGACAUCACUGAUGUUUUACAAGCCCCUUGUGUUUAGCAAACCUAUUUCUGGUGUUUUGUUUUUGGUGGUGUUUUUCUUCAUGCUAAUUAAUUUUUCUAAGAUUAUUUCUGAAUGUGUUCUGAACAUAGGACCCAAGUAUAUAGGAUAUCACAGAUAUCCUAUCACAGAUAUCCUAUCACAGAUAUCACAGAUAUCCUAUCACAGAUAUCACAGAUAUCCUAUAAGUCUGAGAACUAGCUGUCAUCAUUUCAUGGUCUUUUAAAUUUUAAAUCUCAAGUAGCUAAAGUCUGAAUAACAUUAAAAUAUAAAUAGACAUUUAAAACUAGUUUUUAGAGAAAUUGACAGUGAAUUCAACUACACAUAUGUCACAUAGUAAUUGAAUGCAUUACCACUAAACUUUUUUUUGAACAAUUUCUUGAAAUUCAGUCUUUAAUAUAUGUUCCCUGUGGUUUAUCAAACUCUAAAUGUCUGUUUGGUAAAAACUCAAGUUAGAGAUAUGGUAAGUAAAUGACAUAGCAAUGCCUUUACAUUGUACUUUUAAAAUAAAUUAGUGAUUUCCAAUUCCA
Long non-coding RNA from Homo sapiens (human), 1720 nucleotides. RefSeq lists it as uncharacterized. NCBI's taxonomy places the organism in Eukaryota, Metazoa, Chordata, Mammalia, Primates, Hominidae. The transcript is spliced from 2 exons. The record is from RefSeq and is a predicted model, not a curated record.